Molecule: ribosomal RNA, 118 nt
Filed under: Diaphorina citri (Asian citrus psyllid)
Lineage: Eukaryota; Metazoa; Arthropoda; Insecta; Hemiptera; Psyllidae
Source: RNAcentral
GCGCGUAGCGAUAGCACGUUGAAAUCACCAUUUCUCAAUUGAUCACUGAAAUUAAGCAACGUUUCGUGUGGUUGGUAUCUGGAUGUGUGGCUAUCUGGCCAAUAGAGCGCUGCUGGCU